This 467-nucleotide ribosomal RNA is filed under the name uncultured bacterium. RNAcentral describes it as "SSU rRNA". It matches the Rfam family "Bacterial small subunit ribosomal RNA", at positions 26 to 518 of the family's 1533-position model. The record is from RNAcentral.
AGGACGAACGCUGGCGGCGUGCUUAACACAUGCAAGUCGAGCGGAAAGGCCCUUCGGGGUACUCGAGCGGCGAACGGGUGAGUAACACGUGAGCAAUCUGCCCUUAGCUUCGGGAUAGCCCCGGGAAACCGGGAUUAAAUACCGAAUAUGACCUCGGCCGACAUCGGCUUUGGUGGAAAGUUUUUCGGCUAGGGAUGAACUCGCGGCCUAUCAGCUUGUUGGUGGGGUAAUGGCCUACCAAGGCGACGACGGGUAGCCGGCCUGAGAGGGCGACCGGCCACACUGGGACUGAAACACGGUCCAGACUCCUACGGGAGGCAGCAGUGGGGAAUUUGCGCAAUGGGGGAAACCCUGACGCAGCAACGCCGCGUGGAGGAUGAAGUCCCUUGGGACGUAAACUCCUUUCGAUCGGGACGAUAAUGACGGUACCGGAAGAAGAAGCCCGGCUAACUCGCGCCAGCAGCCGC